AAUUUAUUUGAUUAACAUCACACACAUAUCGACACGUGCUCCGGGGUGCCUGUGAAGCUGUGAAAACAGCAACAUAUGGGUCGGAUUCAUGGGAUAUGUGGAGGCCUAAC
Molecule: small RNA, 110 nt
Filed under: Vibrio stylophorae
Lineage: Bacteria; Pseudomonadati; Pseudomonadota; Gammaproteobacteria; Vibrionales; Vibrionaceae
Description: t44
Rfam family: t44 RNA
About the family: This family consists of a number of bacterial RNA genes of between 135 and 170 bases in length. The t44 gene is found between the map and rpsB genes in all species in the full alignment apart from Shigella flexneri. The function of this RNA is unknown.
Source: RNAcentral